UACGGGGGGAGCAAGCGUUGUUCGGAUUUACUGGGCGUAAAGGGCGCGUAGGCGGCCUCCGCAAGUCGACUGUGAAAUCUCCGGGCUUAACUCGGAACGGUCAAGUGAUACUGUCGGACUAGAGUACAGAAGGGGCAACUGGAAUUCUCGGUGUAGCGGUGAAAUGCGCAGAUAUCAGGAGGAACACCGGUGGCGAAGGCGGGUCUCUGGGCAGUAACCGACGCUGAGGAGCGAAAGCGUGGGGAGCGAACAGG
This 254-nucleotide ribosomal RNA is filed under the name uncultured bacterium. RNAcentral describes it as "partial 16S ribosomal RNA". It matches the Rfam family "Bacterial small subunit ribosomal RNA", at positions 524 to 776 of the family's 1533-position model. The record is from RNAcentral.